Molecule: ribosomal RNA, 447 nt
Filed under: uncultured bacterium
Lineage: Bacteria
Description: bacterial SSU rRNA
Rfam family: Bacterial small subunit ribosomal RNA
Source: RNAcentral
GGGUGGUAAAGCAAUUUAGUUCGGAGGGAAGUAAAUAUUCUUUCAUCCCUGGGGAUAAUGACGGUACCCGAAGAANAAGCCCCGGCUAACUUCGUGCCAGCAGCCGCGGUAAUACGUAGGGGGCAAGCGUUUUUCGGAAUUACUGGGCGUAAAGCGCGCGCAGGCGGUUCGGUAAGUAAGAUGUGAAAUCCCAGGGCUCAACCUUGGAAUUGCCUUUUAAACUGCCGAUCUAGAGUAUGUCAGAGGGGGGUGGAAUUCCGAGUGUAGCGGUGAAAUUCGUAGAUAUUCGGAGGAACACCGGUGGCGAAGGCAGCCCCCUGGGACAACACUGACGCUCAGGCGCGAAAGCGUGGGGAGCAAACAGGAUUAGAUACCCUGGUAGUCCACGCCCUAAACGAUGUCAACUAGCUGUUGGGCCCUUCAGACUCAGUAGCGCAGCUAACGCAU